This 1465-nucleotide ribosomal RNA is filed under the name Escherichia coli. RNAcentral describes it as "bacterial SSU rRNA". It matches the Rfam family "Bacterial small subunit ribosomal RNA". Lineage: Bacteria; Pseudomonadati; Pseudomonadota; Gammaproteobacteria; Enterobacterales; Enterobacteriaceae. The record is from RNAcentral.
CUUUGCUGACGAGUGGCGGACGGGUGAGUAAUGUCUGGGAAACUGCCUGAUGGAGGGGGAUAACUACUGGAAACGGUAGCUAAUACCGCAUAACGUCGCAAGACCAAAGAGGGGGACCUUCGGGCCUCUUGCCAUCGGAUGUGCCCAGAUGGGAUUAGCUUGUUGGUGGGGUAACGGCUCACCAAGGCGACGAUCCCUAGCUGGUCUGAGAGGAUGACCAGCCACACUGGAACUGAGACACGGUCCAGACUCCUACGGGAGGCAGCAGUGGGGAAUAUUGCACAAUGGGCGCAAGCCUGAUGCAGCCAUGCCGCGUGUAUGAAGAAGGCCUUCGGGUUGUAAAGUACUUUCAGCGGGGAGGAAGGGAGUAAAGUUAAUACCUUUGCUCAUUGACGUUACCCGCAGAAGAAGCACCGGCUAACUCCGUGCCAGCAGCCGCGGUAAUACGGAGGGUGCAAGCGUUAAUCGGAAUUACUGGGCGUAAAGCGCACGCAGGCGGUUUGUUAAGUCAGAUGUGAAAUCCCCGGGCUCAACCUGGGAACUGCAUCUGAUACUGGCAAGCUUGAGUCUCGUAGAGGGGGGUAGAAUUCCAGGUGUAGCGGUGAAAUGCGUAGAGAUCUGGAGGAAUACCGGUGGCGAAGGCGGCCCCCUGGACGAAGACUGACGCUCAGGUGCGAAAGCGUGGGGAGCAAACAGGAUUAGAUACCCUGGUAGUCCACGCCGUAAACGAUGUCGACUUGGAGGUUGUGCCCUUGAGGCGUGGCUUCCGGAGCUAACGCGUUAAGUCGACCGCCUGGGGAGUACGGCCGCAAGGUUAAAACUCAAAUGAAUUGACGGGGGCCCGCACAAGCGGUGGAGCAUGUGGUUUAAUUCGAUGCAACGCGAAGAACCUUACCUGGUCUUGACAUCCACGGAAGUUUUCAGAGAUGAGAAUGUGCCUUCGGGAACCGUGAGACAGGUGCUGCAUGGCUGUCGUCAGCUCGUGUUGUGAAAUGUUGGGUUAAGUCCCGCAACGAGCGCAACCCUUAUCCUUUGUUGCCAGCGGUCCGGCCGGGAACUCAAAGGAGACUGCCAGUGAUAAACUGGAGGAAGGUGGGGAUGACGUCAAGUCAUCAUGGCCCUUACGACCAGGGCUACACACGUGCUACAAUGGCGCAUACAAAGAGAAGCGACCUCGCGAGAGCAAGCGGACCUCAUAAAGUGCGUCGUAGUCCGGAUUGGAGUCUGCAACUCGACUCCAUGAAGUCGGAAUCGCUAGUAAUCGUGGAUCAGAAUGCCACGGUGAAUACGUUCCCGGGCCUUGUACACACCGCCCGUCACACCAUGGGAGUGGGUUGCAAAAGAAGUAGGUAGCUUAACCUUCGGGAGGGCGCUUACCACUUUGUGAUUCAUGACUGGGGUGAAGUCGUAACAAGGUAACCGUAGGGGAACCUGCGGUUGGAUCACCUCCUUACCUUAAAGAAGC